Molecule: transfer RNA, 87 nt
Filed under: Desulfotalea psychrophila
Lineage: Bacteria; Pseudomonadati; Thermodesulfobacteriota; Desulfobulbia; Desulfobulbales; Desulfocapsaceae
Also listed under: 2 other names
Description: tRNA-Leu
Rfam family: tRNA
About the family: Transfer RNA (tRNA) molecules are approximately 80 nucleotides in length. Their secondary structure includes four short double-helical elements and three loops (D, anti-codon, and T loops). Further hydrogen bonds mediate the characteristic L-shaped molecular structure. tRNAs have two regions of fundamental functional importance: the anti-codon, which is responsible for specific mRNA codon recognition, and the 3' end, to which the tRNAs corresponding amino acid is attached (by aminoacyl-tRNA synthetases). tRNAs cope with the degeneracy of the genetic code in two manners: having more than one tRNA (with a specific anti-codon) for a particular amino acid; and 'wobble' base-pairing, i.e. permitting non-standard base-pairing at the 3rd anti-codon position.
Source: RNAcentral
GCCGGAGUGGUGAAACUGGUAGACGCACUGGAUUCAAAAUCCAGCGGAUGUAUGUCCAUGUCGGUUCGAUUCCGACCUCCGGCACCA